UGGGGAAUAUUGCACAAUGGGCGCAAGCCUGAUGCAGCCAUGCCGCGUGUGUGAAGAAGGCCUUCGGGUUGUAAAGCACUUUCAGCGGGGAGGAAGGCGAUAAGGUUAAUAACCUUGUCGAUUGACGUUACCCGCAGAAGAAGCACCGGCUAACUCCGUGCCAGCAGCCGCGGUAAUACGGAGGGUGCAAGCGUUAAUCGGAAUUACUGGGCGUAAAGCGCACGCAGGCGGUCUGUCAAGUCGGAAGUGAAAUCCCCGGGCUCAACCUGGGAAUUGCAGCUGAUAAUGGUCAGCUAGAGGCUUGUAGAGGGGGGUAGAAUUCCAUGUGUAGCGGUGAAAUGCGUAGAGAUGUGGAGGAAUACCGGUGGCGAAGGCGGCCCCCUGGACAAAGACUGACGCUCAGGUGCGAAAGCGUGGGGAGCAAACAGG
Molecule: ribosomal RNA, 429 nt
Filed under: Chloroflexota bacterium
Lineage: Bacteria; Bacillati; Chloroflexota
Description: Chloroflexi bacterium partial 16S ribosomal RNA
Rfam family: Bacterial small subunit ribosomal RNA
Source: RNAcentral